CGCUCAGGGAGGGGCUCGCGGCCUAUUAGUUAGUUGGCGGGGUAAUGGCCCACCAAGGCAAAGACGGGUAGCCGGUCUGAGAGGACGGACGGCCACAUUGGAACUGAGACACGGUCCAAACAUCUACGGAUGGCAGCAGUUUCGAAUUAUUCACAAUGGGCGAAAGCCUGAUGGUGCGACGUCGCGUGGAGGAAGAAGGUCCUUGGAUUGUAAACUCCUGUCAUUAGGGAGCAAGUUACGGUGGAGAGCUGUAAUUGAGUUAACCUAAAGAGGAAGCAGUGGCAAACUCCGUGCCAGCAGCCGCGGUAAUACGGAGACUGCGAGCGUUACUCGGAAUUACUGGGCGUAAAGGGUGCGUAGGCGGCAGAUUAUGUUGAGUGUAAAAAUGCGAAGCUUAACUUCGUAGGGCGCUCAAAACUGAUUUGCUAGAGUGACAUAGAGGUAAGCGGAACUCCAGGAGUAGCAGUGAAAUGCGUAGAUAUCUGGAAGAACACCGAAGGCGAAGGCAGCUUACUGGGUGAGAACUGACGCUGAGGCACGAAAGCGUGGGGAGCGAAAGGGAUUAGAUACCCCUGUAGUCCACGCCGUAAACGAUGUACACUAGGUUUUGGGACAUUCGGUCGUCUCAGGAUUCAAGCGAACGUGAUAAGUGUACCGCCUGAGGACUACGGCCGCAAGGCUAAAACUUAAAGGAAUUGACGGGGACCCGCACAAGCGGUGGAGCAUGUGGCUUAAUUCGAUGCAACGCGAAGAACCUUACCUAGGCUUGACAUAGGUUAGACCGUGUAUGAAAGUACACCUUCUGCAAAGACUGAUCUACAGGUGCUGCAUGGCUGUCGUCAGCUCGUGUCGUGAGAUGUUCGGUUAAGUCCGGCAACGAGCGCAACCCUCGUUCUUAGUUACCAGCGGGUAAAGCCGGGGACUCUAAGGAGACAAACGAAAGUGGGAAGGUGGGGAUGACGUCAAGUCAGUAUGGCCCUUAUGUCUAGGGCUGCACACGUGCUACAAUGCUCGGUACAAAGGGAAGCGAGGCUGUGAAGCGGAGCGAACCCGAAAAAGCCGAGCCCAGUUCGGAUUGAAGUCUGCAAUUCGACUUCAUGAAGCCGGAAUCGCUAGUAAUGGUAUAUCAGCAACGGUACCGUGAAUACGUUCCCGGGUCUUGCACUCACCGCCCGUCAAG
RNAcentral lists this ribosomal RNA (1180 nucleotides) under uncultured bacterium. RNAcentral's name for it is "bacterial SSU rRNA". It matches the Rfam family "Bacterial small subunit ribosomal RNA", at positions 216 to 1401 of the family's 1533-position model. The record is from RNAcentral.